RNAcentral lists this ribosomal RNA (484 nucleotides) under uncultured bacterium. Its description in RNAcentral is "partial 16S ribosomal RNA". It matches the Rfam family "Bacterial small subunit ribosomal RNA", at positions 30 to 507 of the family's 1533-position model. The record is from RNAcentral.
AUUGAACGCUGGCGGCAGGCCUAACACAUGCAAGUCGAGCGGAUGAAGGGAGCUUGCUCCUGGAUUCAGCGGCGGACGGGUGAGUAAUGCCUAGGAAUCUGCCUGGUAGUGGGGGAUAACGUCCGGAAACGGGCGCUAAUACCGCAUACGUCCUGAGGGAGAAAGUGGGGGAUCCUCGGACCUCACGCUAUCAGAUGAGCCUAGGUCGGAUUAGCUAGUUGGUGGGGUAAAGGCCUACCAAGGCGACGAUCCGUAACUGGUCUGAGAGGAUGAUCAGUCACACUGGAACUGAGACACGGUCCAGACUCCUACGGGAGGCAGCAGUGGGGAAUAUUGGACAAUGGGCGAAAGCCUGAUCCAGCCAUGCCGCGUGUGUGAAGAAGGUCUUCGGGUUGUAAAGCACUUUAAGUUGGGAGGAAGGGCAGUAAGUUAAUACCUUGCUGUUUUGACGUUACCAACAGAAUAAGCACCGGCUAACUUCGUG